GGUUGCGUUUUGCAUCACUACGCCAUCUGUCGUUUCUCAACGUGACGGCAAAGGGCUGUCCAUUGUACAGGCUGCUCAUGUAGGUACGGUACAAUAGCUAUGCACUCCCUAUUGACUGCAUAAGACUACUCAAAUGCGAGCGGGGACAACGUGGUGCUGUUGACUGCGGAAGUGCUCCUAGGGAUCCAUGUGGUUUAUAUACAACAUUUCUACCGGCUGGAUUCUCCUGUCUCAUGGAUAGUGUAUCAUCUUGCUUUUUAUCCAUGGCUGACCGGAUGAGCCGUUACUGCUAUUUCCUUUGAUAGAAAUAAUCAAAAGAGGGGGAAAGAAAGAAAGAAACGAAAAUAACAAGGACCAUACCCUUACCAGCUUCACUACGACUUGUGUGAUAUUCGCUGAAGUCUUCUGAUGGCAUCUUCUCCUUGAAGGGGAUGCAUUUUCACUCUCUGUUUACGUUCUAUCAUUUUGCUUAACCGUUGGCUUUAAAUCAUUGACUCUUGUUAAACAUCUUUAUCAAGAGGAUCCAAGGGGAAACAAAGAUCGAUAUCUUGGUCAUUGAGCCGCUACAUGUAGCUCAUAGACCGGCUUCUUUUUCACAGUUGUAUUAUUAUCUGGGCCUUUCUUCU
This 626-nucleotide small RNA is filed under the name Histoplasma capsulatum var. duboisii H88. Its description in RNAcentral is "Histoplasma capsulatum H88 hypothetical RNA". Lineage: Eukaryota; Fungi; Ascomycota; Eurotiomycetes; Onygenales; Ajellomycetaceae. The record is from RNAcentral.